ACUUAUUGUUUGUAUGGUUUUCCGCAAAAAAAAUCUCGUUCGCGUUAUUUGGAAAAUCAUAACGCUGGGCAUAUACCCUUAACUUUGGAAAUUGCAAUUGGAGUUUUUGACAUUUAUGCACCUGACCCACUACCAGAUUUUAAUUCAUAUAAAAUAGAGUCAAUUACAGGUGAUAUGGAGCAAUUUUUGCUUAACCUUAUACAAUUGCUUCCAAAACAAAAUGAUAUACAUUUUCAAAUUCAAAACAUAGACGACUUUAUAUCAGGAGCACGUAAGGAUCUGUCCAAAGAUUCACUAUUAUUGCGAUUACCAUUCAAAGUGAAAAAUAUUUACUACUUGCUGGCAGAUUAUUACUUUAAAAGUCGCGAUUUCUUAAAAGCUAUUAAGUACUAUAUUACCGAUCUGGCUGUAAAUUUGAACCGAUUUGAUUCCUGGGCUGGAAUAUCAUUAUCAAAAGCGAGCAUUGUUGAGACACAAAUAAAUGGUCUGGACCCAUUAGAUUCUAACCUGGUGCUGAUGGAAUCUGAUAACGUUAUCCGCUGUUUUGGAAAAUGUGUUAGCCUUCUUGAAAACCAUUCUUUGGUUUGGAUUGAGUAUGGAUCAUUUGCUUAUCUAAUAAGUUCUUAUUGCUCAAGAACUUUAAAGAACACAACUUUAGAGAAAUCUCCCAGGUAUGUGCAAGUA
Molecule: long non-coding RNA, 684 nt
Organism: Drosophila willistoni
Lineage: Eukaryota; Metazoa; Arthropoda; Insecta; Diptera; Drosophilidae
Exons: 2
Source: RefSeq, a predicted model, not a curated record